GUGGGCGUAGGAGAAUUGGCAUAUCCACUGCGCUAAGAACGCAGCUUUUGUGGGUUCAAAUCCCACCGCCCACACCA
This 77-nucleotide transfer RNA is filed under the name Caudoviricetes sp. RNAcentral describes it as "tRNA-Leu". It matches the Rfam family "tRNA". From Rfam's summary of the family: Transfer RNA (tRNA) molecules are approximately 80 nucleotides in length. Their secondary structure includes four short double-helical elements and three loops (D, anti-codon, and T loops). The record is from RNAcentral. Lineage: Duplodnaviria; Heunggongvirae; Uroviricota; Caudoviricetes.